This 629-nucleotide ribosomal RNA is filed under the name Phormidium sp. WUC1436. RNAcentral describes it as "bacterial SSU rRNA". It matches the Rfam family "Bacterial small subunit ribosomal RNA", at positions 125 to 788 of the family's 1533-position model. RNAcentral also lists the same sequence under 1 other name. Lineage: Bacteria; Bacillati; Cyanobacteriota; Cyanophyceae; Oscillatoriales; Oscillatoriaceae. The record is from RNAcentral.
UCUAUCCCUUUGAUGGGGACACAGAGGGAACCGCUGCUAAUACCCGAUGUGCCGAAAGGUGAAAGAUUUAUCGUCUGAAGAUGAGCUCGCGUCCGAUUAGCUAGUUGGUAGGGUAAAAGCCUACCAAGGCGACGAUCGGUAGCUGGUCUGAGAGGAUGACCAGCCACACUGGGACUGAGACACGGCCCAGACUCCUACGGGAGGCAGCAGUGGGGAAUUUUCCGCAAUGGGCGAAAGCCUGACGGAGCAAGACCGCGUGAGGGAGGAAGGCUCUUGGGUUGUAAACCUCUUUUCUCUGGGAAGAAGCUCUGACGGUACCAGAGGAAUCAGCAUCGGCUAACUCCGUGCCAGCAGCCGCGGUAAUACGGAGGAUGCAAGCGUUAUCCGGAAUUAUUGGGCGUAAAGCGUCCGUAGGUGGCAAUUCAAGUCUGCCGUUAAAACCAGUGGCUUAACUACUGAGGGGCGGUGGAAACUGAAUAGCUAGAGUGUGGUAGGGGUAGAGGGAAUUCCCAGUGUAGCGGUGAAAUGCGUAGAGAUUGGGAAGAACACCGGUGGCGAAAGCGCUCUGCUGGACCACAACUGACACUCACAGGACGAAAGCUAGGGGAGCGAAAGGGAUUAGAUACCCC